This 388-nucleotide ribosomal RNA is filed under the name uncultured Peptococcaceae bacterium. RNAcentral describes it as "bacterial SSU rRNA". It matches the Rfam family "Bacterial small subunit ribosomal RNA", at positions 988 to 1382 of the family's 1533-position model. The record is from RNAcentral. Lineage: Bacteria; Bacillati; Bacillota; Clostridia; Eubacteriales; Peptococcaceae.
CUCAGCUAGACCUUUCAGGAAUGGGAGGAACGAGGAGGACAGGUGGUGCGAUGGUUGUCGUCAGCUCGUGUCGUGAGAUGUUGGGUUAAGUCCCGCAACGAGCGCAACCCUUUACAGUUAGUUGCCAGCGGGCAAGCCGGGCACUCUAACUGAACUGCCGGUGACAAACCGGAGGAAGGUGGGGAUGACGUCAAAUCAUCAUGCCCCUUAUGCUCUGGGCUACACACGUGCUACAAUGGAUCGUACAGAGGGCAGCGAAGGAGCGAUUUGGAGCUAAUCUCAAAAAGCGAGCCACAGUUCGGAUUGCAGGCUGCAACUCGCCUGCAUGAAGUCGGAAUCGCUAGUAAUCGCGGAUCAGCAUGCCGCGGUGAAUACGUUCCCGGGCCUU